RNAcentral lists this ribosomal RNA (284 nucleotides) under uncultured Gammaproteobacteria bacterium. RNAcentral's name for it is "partial 16S ribosomal RNA". It matches the Rfam family "Bacterial small subunit ribosomal RNA", at positions 213 to 489 of the family's 1533-position model. The record is from RNAcentral. Lineage: Bacteria; Pseudomonadati; Pseudomonadota; Gammaproteobacteria.
UCUCGCCUUUAGAUUGGCCCAAGUGGGAUUAGCUAGUUGGUGAGGUAAUGGCUCACCAAGGCGACGAUCCCUAGCUGGUUUGAGAGGAUGAUCAGCCACACUGGGACUGAGACACGGCCCAGACUCCUACGGGAGGCAGCAGUGGGGAAUAUUGCACAAUGGGCGCAAGCCUGAUGCAGCCAUGCCGCGUGUGUGAAGAAGGCCUUCGGGUUGUAAAGCACUUUCAGUCAGGAGGAAAGGUUAGUAGUUAAUACCUGCUAGCUGUGACGUUACUGACAGAAGAA